This 76-nucleotide transfer RNA is filed under the name Micromonospora sp. HK10. RNAcentral's name for it is "tRNA-Arg". It matches the Rfam family "tRNA". From Rfam's summary of the family: Transfer RNA (tRNA) molecules are approximately 80 nucleotides in length. Their secondary structure includes four short double-helical elements and three loops (D, anti-codon, and T loops). Further hydrogen bonds mediate the characteristic L-shaped molecular structure. tRNAs have two regions of fundamental functional importance: the anti-codon, which is responsible for specific mRNA codon recognition, and the 3' end, to which the tRNAs corresponding amino acid is attached (by aminoacyl-tRNA synthetases). tRNAs cope with the degeneracy of the genetic code in two manners: having more than one tRNA (with a specific anti-codon) for a particular amino acid; and 'wobble' base-pairing, i.e. permitting non-standard base-pairing at the 3rd anti-codon position. Lineage: Bacteria; Bacillati; Actinomycetota; Actinomycetes; Micromonosporales; Micromonosporaceae. The record is from RNAcentral.
GCCCCCGUGGCGCAGCGGAGAGCGCGUCGGAUUCCGGAUCCGAAGGUCGCUGGUUCGAAUCCAGCCGGGGGCACCG